CGCAUGCAAGUCGAACGGUAUCAGUGCAGGUAAUAAUAUCGGGUUGGUGAAGUUACGGACGGGUGAGUAACGGGUGACAACCCUACCUUAAAGAGGGGGACUACAUUCGGAGGCGGAUGCUAAUACCGCAUAAGACCACAGUGCCAGCAUGGCGUGAGGUCAUAGGAGAAAUCCGCUUUAAGAUUGGGCUCGCGUCGCAUUGCUAGUAGGUGAGGUAAUGGCCCACUAAGGCGACGAUGGGUAGCCGACCUGAGAGGGUGAUCGGCCACACUGGAACUGUGACAUGGUCCAGCACUCCUACGGGAGGCAGCAGUGGGGAAUAUUGGGCAUGGGCGAAAGCCUGACCCAGCAACGCCGCGUGAUUGCAAGAAGGUCUUCGGAUUGUAAAAAUCUGUCCUAGUGGGACGAAGAAAGUGACGGUACCAUAGGAGGAAGCCCCGGCUAACCGUGCCAGCAGCCGCGGUAAGACGUAGGGGGCGAGCGUUGUCCGGAAUUACUGGGCGUAAAGGGUGUCUAGGCGGCGCCUUAAGUCAGAUGUGUUAUAUCCAUGCUUAACGUGGAGGGUGCAUUUGAAACUGGGGUGCUUAAGUGCAGGAGAGGAAAGUGGAAUUCCUAGUGUAGCGGUGAAAUGCGUAGAUAUUAGGAGGCACUCCAGUGCGAAGGCGACUUUCUGGACUGUAACUGACGCUGAGGCACGAAAGCGUGCGGAGCAAACAGGAUUAGAUACCCUGGUAGUCCACGCCGUAAACGAUGGAUACUAGGUGUAGGGGGCGAUAGCUCUCUGUGCCGCAGCAUAACGCAAUAAGUAUCCCGCCUGGGGAGUACGAUCGCAAGGUUGAAACUCAAAGGAAUUGACGGGGGGCCGCAAAGCAGCGGAGCAUGUGGUUUAAUUCGAAGCAACCGGCGAAGAACCUUACCAAGGCUUGAAAUCCCUUGACACACAUAAUAAUAUGUGUUCCUUCGUGACAAGGAGACAGGUGGUGCAUGGUUGUACGUCAGCUCGUGUCGUGAGAUGUCGGGUUAAGUCCCGCAACGAGCGCAACCCUUAUUGCUAGUUACCAGCGCGUAAAGGCGGGAACUCUAGUGAGACUGCCGGGGACAACUCGGAGGAAGGUAUUGACGACGUCAAAUCAUCAGGCCCCUGAUGUCUUGGGCUACACACGUGCUACAAUGGCCGGUACAAAGGUUAGCGAAGCCGCAACUGAAGCGAAUCUCAAAAAGCCGGUCUCAGUUCGGAUCGUGGGCUGCAACGUGCCCACGGCAGUCGGAGUUGCUAGUAAUCGUGAAUCAGCAUGUCGCGGUGAAU
Molecule: ribosomal RNA, 1306 nt
Filed under: uncultured bacterium
Lineage: Bacteria
Description: bacterial SSU rRNA
Rfam family: Bacterial small subunit ribosomal RNA
Source: RNAcentral